UGGAAUAAAAUUUCAAACUUCUGGGCUGGA
Molecule: non-coding RNA, 30 nt
Filed under: Mus musculus (house mouse)
Lineage: Eukaryota; Metazoa; Chordata; Mammalia; Rodentia; Muridae
Source: RNAcentral